Molecule: ribosomal RNA, 2368 nt
Filed under: Acinetobacter baumannii
Lineage: Bacteria; Pseudomonadati; Pseudomonadota; Gammaproteobacteria; Moraxellales; Moraxellaceae
Description: 23S ribosomal RNA
Rfam family: Bacterial large subunit ribosomal RNA
Source: RNAcentral
AGUCAAGUAAUUAAGUGCAUGUGGUGGAUGCCUUGGCAGUCAGAGGCGAUGAAAGACGUGAUAGCCUGCGAAAAGCUCCGGGGAGGCGGCAAAUAUCCUUUGAUCCGGAGAUGUCUGAAUGGGGGAACCCACCUACUUUAAGGUAGGUAUUGCAACAUGAAUACAUAGUGUUGCAAGGCGAACGAGGGGAAGUGAAACAUCUCAGUACCCUUAGGAAAAGAAAUCAAUUGAGAUUCCCUCAGUAGCGGCGAGCGAACGGGGAUCAGCCCAUUAAGUUAUGUGUGUUUUAGUGGAACGCUCUGGGAAGUGCGAACGUAGAGGGUGAUAUUCCCGUACACGAAAGGGCACACAUAAUGAUGACGAGUAGGGCGAGGCACGUGAAACCUUGUCUGAAUAUGGGGGGACCAUCCUCCAAGGCUAAAUACUCCUGACUGACCGAUAGUGAACCAGUACCGUGAGGGAAAGGCGAAAAGAACCCCUGUGAGGGGAGUGAAAUAGAUCCUGAAACCGCAUGCAUACAAGCAGUGGGAGCACCUUCGUGGUGUGACUGCGUACCUUUUGUAUAAUGGGUCAGCGACUUAUAUUCAGUAGCAANNNNNNNNNNNNNNNNNNNNNNNNNNNNNNNNNNNNNNNNNNNNNNNNNNNNNNNNNNNNNNNNNNNNNNNNNNNNNNNNNNNNNNNNNNNNNNNNNUAUGCUGGAGGUAUCAGAAGUGCGAAUGCUGACGUGAGUAACGACAAAACGGGUGAAAAACCCGUUCGCCGAAAGACCAAGGGUUCCAGUCCAACGUUAAUCGGGGCUGGGUGAGUCGACCCCUAAGGCGAGGCCGAAAGGCGUAGUCGAUGGGAAAAUGGUUAAUAUUCCAUUACUUCUGUGUAAUGCGAUGAGAGGACGGAGAAGGCUAAAUCAGCCUGGCGUUGGUUGUCCAGGUGAAAGGAUGUAGGCAUGUAUCUUAGGCAAAUCCGGGGUACUCUAUGCUGAGAUCUGAUAGCAAGCUGUACUUGUACAGCGAAGUGGUUGAUGCCAUGCUUCCAGGAAAAGUCUCUAAGCUUCAGUUACACAGGAAUCGUACCCGAAACCGACACAGGUGGUCAGGUCGAGUAGACCAAGGCGCUUGAGAGAACUCUGCUGAAGGAACUAGGCAAAAUGGUACCGUAACUUCGGGAGAAGGUACGCUGUUGUUGGUGAUGGAACUCGCUUCCUGAGCUGACGACAGCCGCAGAAACCAGGCCGCUGCAACUGUUUAUUAAAAACAUAGCACUCUGCAAACACGAAAGUGGACGUAUAGGGUGUGAUGCCUGCCCGGUGCUGGAAGGUUAAUUGAUGGGGUUAGCGUAAGCGAAGCUCUUGAUCGAAGCCCCAGUAAACGGCGGCCGUAACUAUAACGGUCCUAAGGUAGCGAAAUUCCUUGUCGGGUAAGUUCCGACCUGCACGAAUGGCAUAAUGAUGGCGGCGCUGUCUCCAGCAGAGGCUCAGUGAAAUCGAAAUCGCUGUGAAGAUGCAGUGUACCCGCGGCUAGACGGAAAGACCCCGUGAACCUUUACUGCAGCUUGACACUGAACUUUGACCUUACUUGUGUAGGAUAGGUGGGAGGCUUUGAAGCUGGAACGCUAGUUCCAGUGGAGCCGUCCUUGAAAUACCACCCUGGUAAUGUUGAGGUUCUAACUCUGUCCCGUGAUCCGGGACGAGGACCGUGUCUGGUGGGUAGUUUGACUGGGGCGGUCUCCUCCUAAAGAGUAACGGAGGAGUACGAAGGUGCGCUCAGCGUGGUCGGAAAUCACGCGUAGAGUAUAAAGGCAAAAGCGCGCUUAACUGCGAGACCCACAAGUCGAGCAGGUACGAAAGUAGGUCUUAGUGAUCCGGUGGUUCUGUAUGGAAGGGCCAUCGCUCAACGGAUAAAAGGUACUCUGGGGAUAACAGGCUGAUACCGCCCAAGAGUUCAUAUCGACGGCGGUGUUUGGCACCUCGAUGUCGGCUCAUCUCAUCCUGGGGCUGAAGCAGGUCCCAAGGGUAUGGCUGUUCGCCAUUUAAAGAGGUACGCGAGCUGGGUUUAGAACGUCGUGAGACAGUUCGGUCCCUAUCUACCGUGGGCGCUGGAAAUUUGAGAGGAUCUGCUCCUAGUACGAGAGGACCAGAGUGGACGAACCUCUGGUGUACCGGUUGUGACGCCAGUCGCAUCGCCGGGUAGCUAUGUUCGGAAGGGAUAACCGCUGAAAGCAUCUAAGCGGGAAGCCUACCUCAAGAUAAGAUUUCCCUAGGACUUUAUGUCCUCUAAAGAGCCGUUCGAGACUAGGACGUUGAUAGGUUGGAUGUGGAAGCAUAGUGAUAUGUGAAGCUGACCAAUACUAAUUGCUCGUGAGGCUUGACUAU